This is a small nuclear RNA of Talpa occidentalis (Iberian mole), 192 nucleotides long. RefSeq annotates it as U2 spliceosomal RNA. The record is from RefSeq and is a predicted model, not a curated record. The transcript has a single exon. NCBI's taxonomy places the organism in Eukaryota, Metazoa, Chordata, Mammalia, Eulipotyphla, Talpidae.
ACUGCUUCCUGGUCUUUUGGCUAAGAUCAAGUGCGAUAUGUGUUCUUAGCAGUUUACUAUCUGAUAUGUUCUCUACCCAAGGACAGCAUUCUAAUUGGAUUUUUGGAUCAAGGAGCUGGAACAGGAGCUUGCUCUAUCCACUCCAUGCAUCAACCUGGUACUGCAUGCAGUACCUCUAAGAGUACACUAAAC